AUUGAACGCUGGCGGCAGGCCUAACACAUGCAAGUCGAACGAGUGGCGGACGGGUGAGUAAUGUAUGGGAACCUGCCUGAUGGAGGGGGAUAACUACUGGAAACGGUAGCUAAUACCGCAUACCAUCAGAUGUGCCCAGAUGGGAUUAGCUAGUUGGUGGGGUAACGGCUCACCAAGGCAACGAUCCCUAGCUGGUCUGAGAGGAUGACCAGCAACACUGGAACUGAGACACGGUCCAGACUCCUACGGGAGGCAGCAGUGGGGAAUUUUGGACAAUGGGCGAAAGCCUGAUGCAGCCAUGCCGCGUGUAUGAAGAAGGCCUUCGGGUUGUAAAGUACUUUCGGCAGAGAGGCGUUAUCCGCAGAAGAAGCACCGGCUAACUCCGUGCCAGCAGCCGCGGUAAUAC
Molecule: ribosomal RNA, 406 nt
Filed under: uncultured bacterium
Lineage: Bacteria
Description: partial 16S ribosomal RNA
Rfam family: Bacterial small subunit ribosomal RNA
Source: RNAcentral